UGGCGACCGGCGCACGGGUGAGUAACACGUAUCCAACCUGCCUCAUACUCGGGGAUAGCCUUUCGAAAGAAAGAUUAAUAUCCGAUAGCAUAUAUUUCCCGCAUGGGUUUUAUAUUAAAGAAAUUCGGUAUGAGAUGGGGAUGCGUUCCAUUAGUUUGUUGGCGGGGUAACGGCCCACCAAGACUACGAUGGAUAGGGGUUCUGAGAGGAAGGUCCCCCACAUUGGAACUGAGACACGGUCCAAACUCCUACGGGAGGCAGCAGUGAGGAAUAUUGGUCAAUGGACGCGAGUCUGAACCAGCCAAGUAGCGUGAAGGAUGACUGCCCUAUGGGUUGUAAACUUCUUUUAUAUGGGAAUAAAGUGGUCCACGUGUGGAUUUUUGUAUGUACCAUAUGAAUAAGGAUCGGCUAACUCCGUGCCAGCAGCCGCGGUAAUACGGAGGAUCCGAGCGUUAUCCGGAUUUAUUGGGUUUAAAGGGAGCGUAGGCGGAUUGUUAAGUCAGUUGUGAAAGUUUGCGGCUCAACCGUAAAAUUGCAGUUGAUACUGGCAGUCUUGAGUGCAGUAGAGGUGGGCGGAAUUCGUGGUGUAGCGGUGAAAUGCUUAGAUAUCACGAAGAACUCCGAUUGCGAAGGCAGCU
This 638-nucleotide ribosomal RNA is filed under the name uncultured bacterium. RNAcentral describes it as "bacterial SSU rRNA". It matches the Rfam family "Bacterial small subunit ribosomal RNA", at positions 89 to 726 of the family's 1533-position model. The record is from RNAcentral.